This is a non-coding RNA of Tilletiaria anomala UBC 951, 105 nucleotides long. The record is from the annotation of a RefSeq genome assembly. NCBI's taxonomy places the organism in Eukaryota, Fungi, Basidiomycota, Exobasidiomycetes, Georgefischeriales, Tilletiariaceae.
GGUCGCCUGGCGCAGUUGGUAGCGCGUGAGAUUCCAGCGAUUCUUGUGAUCAAACACGUAGAAUUUGGUUCCUCAAGGUCAUCCGUUCAAGUCGGGUGGCGAUCA